Molecule: ribosomal RNA, 23 nt
Filed under: Bursaphelenchus xylophilus (pine wood nematode)
Lineage: Eukaryota; Metazoa; Nematoda; Chromadorea; Rhabditida; Aphelenchoididae
Also listed under: 2 other names
Description: partial 18S ribosomal RNA
Source: RNAcentral
GUGAACCUUCGGCUGGAUCAUUA